UACGGAGGGUGCAAGCGUUAAUCGGAAUUACUGGGCGUAAAGCGUGCGUAGGUGGUUCGUUAAGUCCGUUGUGAAAGCCCCGAGCUCAACUUGGGAAUUGCAGUGGAUACUGGCGAGCUGGAGUGCGGUAGAGGAAGGUGGAAUUCCCGGUGUAGCGGUGAAAUGCGUAGAGAUCGGGAGGAACACCAGUGGCGAAGGCGGCCUUCUGGACCAGCACUGACACUCAAGCACGAAAGCGUGGGGAGAAAACAGG
Molecule: ribosomal RNA, 253 nt
Filed under: uncultured bacterium
Lineage: Bacteria
Description: partial 16S ribosomal RNA
Rfam family: Bacterial small subunit ribosomal RNA
Source: RNAcentral